This 510-nucleotide ribosomal RNA is filed under the name uncultured bacterium. Its description in RNAcentral is "partial 16S ribosomal RNA". It matches the Rfam family "Bacterial small subunit ribosomal RNA", at positions 28 to 507 of the family's 1533-position model. The record is from RNAcentral.
GACGAACGCUGGCGGCGUGCUUAACACAUGCAAGUCGAACGAAGAGCGAUGGAAGCUUGCUUCUAUCAAUCUUAGUGGCGAACGGGUGAGUAACGCGUAAUCAACCUGCCCUUCAGAGGGGGACAACAGUUGGAAACGACUGCUAAUACCGCAUACGAUCUAAUCUCGGCAUCGAGGAUAGAUGAAAGGUGGGCUCUACAUGUAAGCUAUCACUGAAGGAGGGGAUUGCGUCUGAUUAGCUAGGUGGGGGGGGAACGGCCCACCCAGGCGAGGAUCAGUAGGCGGUCUGGGAGGAUGAACGGCCAAAAUUGGACUUAGGCACGGCCCAGACCCCUACGGGAGGCAGCAGUGGGGAAACUUCCGAAAAGGACGAAAGGCUGACUGAGGAACGCCGCGGUGGGGAUGACAGCCUUCGGGUUGGAAAGCUCGGUUAAUCGGGACGAAAGGCCUUCUUGCGAAUAGUGAGAAGGAUUGACGGUACCGGAAUAGAAAGCCACGGCUAACUACGUG